Molecule: ribosomal RNA, 253 nt
Filed under: uncultured bacterium
Lineage: Bacteria
Description: partial 16S ribosomal RNA
Rfam family: Bacterial small subunit ribosomal RNA
Source: RNAcentral
UACGUAGGAUGCAAGCGUUGUCCGGAUUUAUUGGGCGUAAAGAGUUCGUAGGCGGUUCGUUAAGUCUGAUGUUAAAUCUCGGGGCUCAACCUCGGGAGUGCAUUGGAUACUGGCGGACUGGAGUGUGGUAGAGGUUAGUGGAAUUCCCAGUGUAGCGGUGAAAUGCGUAGAUAUUGGGAAGAACACCAGUGGCGUAGGCGACUAACUGGGCCAUAACUGACGCUGAGGAACGAAAGCGAGGGGAGCGAAUGGG